GUAGGGCAUGGUGGCACAUGCCUGUAAUCCCAGUGGCUCAGGAGGCUGAGACAGGAGGAUCAUGAGUUUAAAGCCAGCCUCAGCAAAAUCUCCAGUUUUUUUGGGGGUGGGGUGGGGUGGGGCUUGUUACUAGGGAUUGAAUUUAGGGGCAGUCAACCACUGAGCCACAUCCCUCUUUUGUAUUUUAUUUAGAGACAGGGUCUCACUGAGUUGCUUAGUGCCUUGCCAUUGCUGAGGCUGGCUUUGAACCUGUGAUCUUCCUGUCUCGG
RNAcentral lists this small RNA (269 nucleotides) under Marmota monax (woodchuck). Lineage: Eukaryota; Metazoa; Chordata; Mammalia; Rodentia; Sciuridae. The record is from RNAcentral.